Molecule: long non-coding RNA, 677 nt
Filed under: Heterocephalus glaber (naked mole-rat)
Lineage: Eukaryota; Metazoa; Chordata; Mammalia; Rodentia; Bathyergidae
Description: lncRNA (ENSHGLG00000047126.1)
Source: RNAcentral
CAGGCUGAGCUUUGGGGCCUUGUAAUGUCUUCUAACUUACAAGGCAUCUAUAUAAUUGUUUUUCAUUGCCAACAAUGGCAUUUUUUGUUAUAAGUACUUUUUGAAAACUAAUAUAUGCCCAUUUUAAAGAAGUUCAAGCACACCUCCCAAGCCCUGUGCAAAGUUUCCAUCCAUGGAGAGCCAUGCCCACCAAGCCUCAAGCGUGAGCAAUUAACCUGAAGAAGACCAGUUCCAAAGCACAUAGCUUCCAAUCUGGAACACUUCACGAAGCCCAGCUCAGCAGGAUCUCUGAACAGACAAGCAAAGUGGGGAGCAGGAAGAGGAGAGGACCUUGGAGUGUGCAGUCUCCACCUCCUUCCCAUCCUUAAUGAACCAGAUCUUUCCAAGGAGACUACCAAGCUGAGGAUCUGGAGAAGCUACAAGCUGUAUUGGUGGCAUGUACUUAUGAAUGCUGCGAGACAAAGCCUUCAGAGCUGGCCCCAGAUGUGAGGCGGUGUUACCAGUGAACAUGGAUGUGGCGCCACAGCAAGGACAGCUGAGGCGGGGCAGGACCUUCUCCACUGUCCCCACUCUGGACUCUGCAAGCACCGUAUCUGGCCAGAGACAAAGUGGCUGGUAUCUGACUGGGUACUCAGCCACCAGCCUGCUGCAUCUGGCUGUCCCUGGGAAGAAAGGAG